AUGAAGCGCAUGAGUAGAAUGCCCACAAGGAAGGCCCAUUCAUGGUGGUGGGACAGUCAUAUUAGUCCCAAAAACAACAAAUGGCUAGCUGAUAAUCUAGAAGAGAUGGAUAAGCAAGUUAAAGAGAUGCUGAAGCUCAUUGAGGAUGAAGGAGAUUCUUUUGCAAAGAAGGCUGAGAUGUAUUACCAAAGGCGUCCUUUGCUUGUCACCCAUGUUGAAAAUUUCUACCGCAUGUAUCGUGCUCUUGCUGAGCGUUAUGACAAUGUGACUGGGGAACUACGAAAAAACAUGCCAUCAUCUCUCAAAUCACAGGGCUCAGGUAUAUCUGAAUCUGACUCCGAGGCACAGUCUACUCCCGCAUCUCCUGAGUCUGAAAAGAAGACCUCAAAAGAGAAGGGUAAAAAGGGAAGUGAUGGAUCGUCAUCAUCUUCUUCUUCUGAUUCUGAUUCCGAGGUUGAUGAAGCGAACCAAGAGAAUGGCAAUGGGAUUACUCAUGCACUGAAUGAACGAGUUAUUGAGCUAGAAGAUGAGCUCAAGGAAGCAAUGGAGAAACUUGAGGCACUCGAGGAAAAGAAUAUGCUGUGCCAAUGUGAAAACCUUGAAGAGAAGUUGCUAGCUUCGCAAUCAGAAAUCAACAGCCUUCAGAAGGAUCUUGAAGAAAAGGUCCGUUCAUUGGAGAGUAUCAAAGAAAUUAGCAGUGAAAAGGAGGAUUUGGAAGCUGCAGUUCAGGAAAACAAGAACAAGUUCGAGGAAUUAAAAGGGGAAAUGGCCUUAGCAGCCAAGCAUCAUGAGGCCCAACUUUCAUAUCGUGACCUUGAAAUUGAGAAAUGCAAGCGGGAGCUUGAGGAAGUAUCUGAGAGGCAUACCUAUGAUAAGUCUAUUCUUGAGACUGAAAUCGGAGAUCUCCAAGAAGUGGUCAAGAACUUGGAAGGGAACUUGGCAAAACUGUCGGAAGAGAAGUUGCAGCUUGAGGCACAGGUUAUGGAGCUUGAACAAACAUCUCACAGCCUAGAUGAUUCAUCUGCUGAAAUUAAGAAGCUACAAAAGGUAAUCAAGGAUCUGCAAGCAAGACUGGAAAAUGAUUCAAAUGAGAAGAGAGUGCUCGAGGAACGUGCUAUCGAGUUUGAGCAAGUUCAUAGGGAGUUAGAGGAUUCGAGGGCUGAAACAGUGGAGCUACAAACUAGAAUUGAGAAACUCAAAGCUGAUCUGGAAGGAGCACUUCAAGAGAAAUCGAUGUUGGAGGGCUCUGUCAAGGAUCUGGAACAUGCCAUUGCUAGUAAGUUGGAGAAAUUCUCUCUUGAGAAGUCCUCUCUCGAUGCUGAGAUCCUACAACUGUCAGAAGCUAAUGCUUCUCUUGAAGACAAGUUGUCAUCCACAGAGGCGCAGCUUAAGCAACUUCAUGCCGAAAAGGCAGAAGCAUCUGUUGAGAGUGAGAAACUGAUCUCUGGAUUGAAGCAAGAUAUUGCCAAUCUUAAGACAGAGCUCGAGUUACUGUCCUCACAGAAAGCUGCAGUUGAUAAUAAGGUGUCUGGUUUGCUGAGUGAUCUCGCAACUUGUGAUGAAAAGAUGAAGGAGAUGGAUAGCCACUUGCAUCAGCUACACCUGGAGCAUGUGCAAGUGAUAGCAGAGGCAGAUGCCGCACGGAAGUCCGUGGCAGAACUGCGUGCACGGGUGCGUGAGCUCGAGGAAGAGGUUGAGAGGCAGAAGCUCAUGGCGUUCGACAGCGCAGAGGGGAAGCGGGAGGCAAUCAGGCAGCUGUGCUUCUCGCUCGAGCACUACCGUGACGGGUAUCAGCAGCUCCGGCAAGUUCUGCAGGGCCACAAGAGGCCGAUGGUGAUGGCGACGUGA
RNAcentral lists this ribosomal RNA (1848 nucleotides) under Triticum aestivum (bread wheat). RNAcentral describes it as "partial small subunit ribosomal RNA". The record is from RNAcentral. Lineage: Eukaryota; Viridiplantae; Streptophyta; Magnoliopsida; Poales; Poaceae.